This 512-nucleotide ribosomal RNA is filed under the name Bombyx mori (domestic silkworm). RNAcentral describes it as "partial large subunit ribosomal RNA". Lineage: Eukaryota; Metazoa; Arthropoda; Insecta; Lepidoptera; Bombycidae. The record is from RNAcentral.
GUCUUUUUGUUAAUAAUUUAAAGUCUAAUCUGCCCACUGAUAUAUUUAUUAAAGGGCUGCAGUAUUUUGACUGUACAAAGGUAGCAUAAUCAUUAGUCUUUUAACUGGUGACUUGUAUGAAAGAUUGGAUGAAAUAUAAACUGUCUCUUUUAUAAAAAAAAAAUUGAAUUUAAUUUUUUAAUUAAAAAGUUAAAAUUAUUUAAAAAGACGAGAAGACCCUAUAGAGUUUUAUAAUUUAUUUUGUAAAUAUUUUUAUUUUUAUAUUUUUAUAAUUUUAAAUUAUUUUGUUGGGGUGAUAAAAAAAUUUAAUUAACUUUUUUUAAUAGUUUACAUUAAUAAGUGAUUAAAUGAUCCAAUUUUAUUGAUUAAAAGAAAAAAUUACCUUAGGGAUAACAGCGUAAUUUUUUUUUUUAGUUCAAAUAAAAAGAAAAGUUUGCGACCUCGAUGUUGGAUUAAGAUAAAAUUUAAAUGUAGAAGUUUAAAAUUUUGAUCUGUUCGAUCAUUAAAAUCUU